CCUACGGGCGGCUGCAGUGGGGAAUAUUGGACAAUGGGGGCAACCCUGAUCCAGCCAUGCCGCGUGUGUGAAGAAGGCCCUCGGGUUGUAAAGCACUUUCAGUGAGGAAGAACGCCUGGUGGUUAAUACCCAUCAGGAAAGACAUCACUCACAGAAGAAGCACCGGCUAACUCCGUGCCAGCAGCCGCGGUAAUACGGAGGGUGCGAGCGUUAAUCGGAAUUACUGGGCGUAAAGCGCGCGUAGGUGGCUUGAUAAGCCGGUUGUGAAAGCCCCGGGCUCAACCUGGGAACGGCAUCCGGAACUGUCAAGCUAGAGUGCAGGAGAGGAAGGUAGAAUUCCCGGUGUAGCGGUGAAAUGCGUAGAGAUCGGGAGGAAUACCAGUGGCGAAGGCGGCCUUCUGGACUGAGACUGACACUGAGGUGCGAAAGCGUGGGUAGCAAACAGGAUUAGAUACCCGAGUAGUC
RNAcentral lists this ribosomal RNA (465 nucleotides) under Vreelandella stevensii. RNAcentral's name for it is "partial 16S ribosomal RNA". It matches the Rfam family "Bacterial small subunit ribosomal RNA", at positions 338 to 795 of the family's 1533-position model. Lineage: Bacteria; Pseudomonadati; Pseudomonadota; Gammaproteobacteria; Oceanospirillales; Halomonadaceae. The record is from RNAcentral.